UGAGAGGACAGUACCUGAAGAAGAACAAUGCUGGGGAAAGGCAAGAGGAGUUGGGAAGCUCCAGCGUGGCAAAUCCCCAGGCUGUGGGCCUUGCUAAAGGCCAAAGAAGGUACUGGGGCUGCAGAGGUACAGUCCUGGGUUAAGUAGAGGCAGCUGCUCCAAACCCCCUUGCCAGUGAUGAGUGGUUUAUAAACUGCAGUCUGCCCCAGU
Molecule: long non-coding RNA, 210 nt
Organism: Dermochelys coriacea (leatherback sea turtle)
Lineage: Eukaryota; Metazoa; Chordata; Testudines; Dermochelyidae
Exons: 3
Source: RefSeq, a predicted model, not a curated record